Molecule: ribosomal RNA, 501 nt
Filed under: uncultured soil bacterium
Lineage: Bacteria
Description: bacterial SSU rRNA
Rfam family: Bacterial small subunit ribosomal RNA
Source: RNAcentral
AGUGGCGCACGGGUGAGUAACGCGUGGGUAACCUGUCCUUGAAUUGGGGAUAACUCCUCGAAAGGGGAGUUAAUACCGAAUAAUAUUCCCCACGGCAAAGGUGCGUUUAAGGAUGGGCCCGCGUACCAUUAGCUCGUUGGUAGGGUAAUGGCCUACCAAGGCUACGAUGGUUAGCUGGUCUGAGAGGAUGGCCAGCCACGCUGGAACUGGGACACGGUCCAGACUCCUACGGGAGGCAGCAGUGGGGAAUCUUGCGCAAUGGGGGAAACCCUGACGCAGCAACGCCGCGUGGGUGAUGAAGGCCUUCGGGUCGUAAAGCCCUGUCUGGUGGGAAGAAUGACGGUACCACCGAAGGAAGCACCGGCUAACUCCGUGCCAGCAGCCGCGGUAAUACGGAGGGUGCAAGCGUUGUUCGGAAUUAUUGGGCGUAAAGCGCGUGUAGGCGGUCGAGUAAGUCAGAUGUGAAAGCCUUCUGCUUAACAGAAGAAGUGCAUUUGAAAC